AACCCCUCGCAUUCAGUUGCCCAUCGGGGUGAGGCCGGGCCGACUACUGGAAAGGACUGCCAUCGACAAGAUGGAGGAAGGUGGGGACGACGUCAAGUCAUCAUGGCCCUUAUGUCCAGGGCGACACACGUGCUACAAUGGCCGGCACAACGGGAAGCGAGUUCGCGAGGACGAGCGGAUCCCUUAAAGCCGGUCGCAGUUCGGAUUGAAGUCUGCAACUCGACUUCAUGAAGCUGGAAUCGCUAGUAAUCGCAGAUCAGCCAAGCUGCGGUGAAUACGUUCCCGGGCCUU
RNAcentral lists this ribosomal RNA (291 nucleotides) under uncultured Synergistaceae bacterium. RNAcentral describes it as "partial 16S ribosomal RNA". It matches the Rfam family "Bacterial small subunit ribosomal RNA", at positions 1098 to 1382 of the family's 1533-position model. Lineage: Bacteria; Thermotogati; Synergistota; Synergistia; Synergistales; Synergistaceae. The record is from RNAcentral.